ACGACCGAGCUUCGUAACAUUAGGUCACUCAUUGCAGAUCUGAAGUAUAGAAAUCAUGAAAGUCGCAGUCUUUCUCCUUUGCUUACUCCCCUUGGCUUUCUGUGCCCCAUCGGACAUUGAUAAGAGAUGGCUGAUAAACGUCCAAAAAGUGAUUGAACAGAUCAAACACCUCGUGACCCCAGACAUGGAACUUUCCGCCUGUGACACUGCCUGCAAAUCCGUCGUGGCUGGACUCGGCGCCCUUGUCUGUCCCACUGCUUGCUCCACAUUGAUCAACAGUCUUAACGGUUAAUCAAUAAAUAUAAAAAUCA
This is a long non-coding RNA of Magallana angulata, 311 nucleotides long. RefSeq lists it as uncharacterized. Lineage: Eukaryota; Metazoa; Mollusca; Bivalvia; Ostreida; Ostreidae. The transcript is spliced from 4 exons. The record is from RefSeq and is a predicted model, not a curated record.